Molecule: non-coding RNA, 73 nt
Organism: Dipodomys ordii (Ord's kangaroo rat)
Lineage: Eukaryota; Metazoa; Chordata; Mammalia; Rodentia; Heteromyidae
Source: Rfam
GGGAAUGUGGCUUAGUGGUAGAGUGCUUACCUAGCAUGCAUGAAACCAUGGGUUCAAUUCCUUAGUAUUCACA